AUACGUCUUCAGGGCGGGGCGGAAUUCCCCACCGGCGGUAGGCCGGCCUAGUGCCGGCAAGCCCGCGAGCGCCCGCGCGAUGAUGCGCGGGGUCAGCAGAUCUGGUCCGAUGCCAGAGCCGACGGUCACAGUCCGGAUGAAAGAAGAUGUGC
This is a regulatory RNA element of Burkholderia sp., 152 nucleotides long. It matches the Rfam family "FMN riboswitch aptamer (RFN element)". Rfam says of the family: The RFN element is a highly conserved domain that is found frequently in the 5'-untranslated regions of prokaryotic mRNAs that encode for flavin mononucleotide (FMN) biosynthesis and transport proteins. This element is a metabolite-dependent riboswitch that directly binds FMN in the absence of proteins. In Bacillus subtilis, the riboswitch most likely controls gene expression by causing premature transcription termination within the 5' untranslated region of the ribDEAHT operon and precluding access to the ribosome-binding site of ypaA mRNA. Lineage: Bacteria; Pseudomonadati; Pseudomonadota; Betaproteobacteria; Burkholderiales; Burkholderiaceae. The record is from Rfam.